This 1388-nucleotide long non-coding RNA is filed under the name Nicotiana benthamiana. Its description in RNAcentral is "long non-coding RNA (NBEN_LNC018013)". Lineage: Eukaryota; Viridiplantae; Streptophyta; Magnoliopsida; Solanales; Solanaceae. The record is from RNAcentral.
GUAGCUUCUUGACCAUCGAGGGUGCUUCCUUAGCAGCAGAUGUUGAAGCUCCUUUUUCAUGCAAGAUUGUUAGAUCUUCGGAUGGGGAAGGCAAGAUCUCUGCACUUGAGGUCGUUCUAGGGGUUGCAUUCAAGAUCCCUUCGUCAUCGGCCUCGUUUAGAGGACCCAAGAGACUGACUGUAAGACCCACAACUGUAUUUAUUAUUGUGUUAUUUUCGGCCAUAUUUCAUUUUUGUGUGGUGUAGAGAAUGGUUGUCAAUUGUUCUCUAGGUACAAACUAUGGUUUUGAUUUUCGAAAUCCCCACAGACGGCGCCAAAUGUUUAGUCUAAAAAGUUAUUGAUAUAGUUUGUAAGCUUAAAAACAAUCAAAAAUAAACGAUGGUAAAUCAUAAUCAAGUAUAAUAUGACCUUGAGAUGAAAUAACGAUAUUGUUAUUGUAGAUCUGAAAGAUAAAAAGAUGAUAUCCGCUUGAGAGAAAAGUAAUCGUUAGAGAUAGAGAUAGAGAUAGAGGGAGAGAGGAGUUGUAUUAUUCGAGAAUAAUCAUGAUGCUCUGUGACAGUGUGAAGGUCUCCUUUAUAUAAUAGGAUACUUUCCUUGAAAUAAUAAAAAGGGUACAAGAGUAAGUAGCGUCUCCUUAGUGAAGACACAAUGUAUUAAACGACGUCGCCUUUGUCCCCACAUCCAAGUCAUACCCUUGCUUUAGUCGAUGUACGCUUGAAGGUGUACCCAUCUACAUAGAGACAUCCGUGGUCAAAUUUGACCCUAUACACAAUCUAAUAUACAAUAAAAUAUUAUAUUUCAUGCAUUUAUUAAUUUAAUAUAUAUGAGAAUUUAUAAUCGUGGUUCCCUUAUCCUACUAUUUAAUUUUUGAUUUCGUUAGUAUUUUUAAUUGGGAGAGCCUACGGACUCCCUAUUGAUCAAUCUAGUUCUCGUCAUUUAAUGUGAUCUGAUCGAGUAGUGGUUUAAUAUCAUUGAAGUCUGUGGGAUAAAGCUUGAAUUGUAAACUUGCUUCGCGAUGUUGAUACUAUAUUGUCCAUGUAUGGGCGAAAACAUCAUUUUGUGUGUUUGAUCCGAUCAACAGAGAUAAAUCCUUUGAAGGCUUUGAUAUGUCAACCUGACUCCAAAAGAUUGAGAAGCAAACUCAAAAAUAAAUUAUAAAGAACAUUAAAUUUCAACAGGGAAAACCCUUCAAAUCAAAGGUAAAAAGAACGAGAUCACAAAGAUCCAAAAAGCUCUACUAUAACAAUAAGAGGGUUACAAAAGUUCUUCAAAUUGGGUACACAACAAGUGGCAAACAUGGAGAAACAAUAGCAGCAAGAACAAUAACUAAUCAAUUGAAGAAAGAGGAGAAUCGCAAAAUGAAGAUGCUAUUCGAGGCUCGAAAUCUG